GUGCUUGCCAGAGAGAGAACAAGAAAGCAAGCAAUCCAACUCCAUUGGAAUUAGAACAAACAUCACUUGCGGGUAAUUACUGCAAGUCUCUAGACACAUUAACAACACCCGGCAGAAGUUCCACCUCCUGGGGACAAUUGCAUAUACUGGUUUUGACUGGG
Chelonia mydas (Green sea turtle) is the source of this 161-nucleotide long non-coding RNA. RefSeq lists it as uncharacterized. The record is from RefSeq and is a predicted model, not a curated record. The transcript is spliced from 2 exons. NCBI's taxonomy places the organism in Eukaryota, Metazoa, Chordata, Testudines, Cheloniidae.